AUUUUAGUCUUAUUAGAGGAACCUGUUUUGUAAUUGAUAAUCCACGAUUAAUUUUACUUAUUUUUAUAAUUCAUAUAUCGCUGUCAUGAAUAUAUUAAAAAAUUUAUUUUCUUAAUUUAUUAUAAUAAUUUAUGUUAAGUCAAGAUGUGGUUAAUAAAUAAGUAUAUAAUGGGUUACAUUAAUUUUUAUUUUUGGAUUUUAAAUGAAAAUUAAAAUGAAAUUGGAUUUAAUAGUAAAUUUAUUUAUUUAAUUAGUAUGAAGAAAGAUCUAAAAUAUGUACAUAUUGCCCGUCAUUCUUAUUAAAAAUAAGACAAGUCGUAACAAAGUAAAUGUACUGGAAAGUGUAUUUAGAAAGAAAAUAAAUAUCUAAAU
This 372-nucleotide ribosomal RNA is filed under the name Sitobion avenae (English grain aphid). Its description in RNAcentral is "partial 12S ribosomal RNA". The record is from RNAcentral. Lineage: Eukaryota; Metazoa; Arthropoda; Insecta; Hemiptera; Aphididae.